RNAcentral lists this ribosomal RNA (1086 nucleotides) under Triticum aestivum (bread wheat). RNAcentral describes it as "partial small subunit ribosomal RNA". The record is from RNAcentral. Lineage: Eukaryota; Viridiplantae; Streptophyta; Magnoliopsida; Poales; Poaceae.
AUGGCCUCCGCCGCGGCGUCGCGCCCCCCGGCCCCGCCGCCGCCGCCGCCCCCGCCCCCGCCCCCGCCGUCCGCCGCCAUGCAGUGGCUCGGCCCGCGCGUCUCCUUCAGCCUCGAGGACGCCGCCGGGUGCGCCGCCGCGGGGGGUGCGGGAACGGGCAAGGCCAGCAACGACUUCGAGUUCCUGCUCGCCGGCUGCUCCCCCGUGUCCACCAUGCUCCCCGCCGACGAGCUCUUCUCCGGGGGCAAGCUCGUGCCGCUCCGCCUCCCGUCUUCGAGUGGUUGUUCGGCAGAGGUGGCGGUGGCCACGCGGCCUCCGCUGGCCCCGGCGGCGACAGCGCAGCAGCAGCAGCAGCCCGAGACGCCGAGGCCGGAGGAGGAGACGAAGGAUGCGGCGGUGGAGGCGGAGCAGGCGGCGGAGGAGCCCAAGGUCCCGGCCAGGAGGUGGAGGGACCUGCUCCGGAUGCGGAAGCAGCAGGCGUCCUCGUCUUCCUCCUCCUCGUCGUCCACGGAGACCAAGCAGCCGCUCCGCCGCCUCCUCCGCCGCGGGCCGAAGCCGCCCGAGCAGGAGCCGUCGCUGAGCCUCCCGCUCCUCCGCGACCCCAACGAGCCCGCGCCGGCACCCGCAUCGGCCCCAACUCCAUCGCCGACCGCGGCGCCUCCCGUCAGCACGUCGCAGCACCAGCUCCCGCCCAAGAUCCGGCUCACGGCGCCGCCCCCGCCUCCUCCGCCUCCCCCCUCCGCCGUGGCCGCCGACAGCCCGCGCCUGAACGCGGCCGGCAAGGUGGUGUUCAACGGGCUGGGCCGCAGCUCCAGCAGCCCGAGCAGCCUGGCGGGCGGGCGGCGCCACCGGUCCGGGUCCGGCGGCAGCGGCAUGGAGCGGUCCUACUCGGCGCACGUGCGCGUGACGCCGGUGCUGAACGUGCCCGUCUGCCGCAAGUCCGUGUCCGUGUUCGGCAUCGACCGGCUCUUCUCCCCGUCGUCCGCGUCCACCGCCGCCGCCGCCCACGCCGCCGCCAAGAAGCAGGGCAAGGUGGCCAAGAAGGAGGCCGCCGCACCACCGCCGCCGCCAUCCUCCUCGCAUUAA